GACGAACUCUGGCGGCGUGCUUAACACAUGCAAGUCGAACGGUAAGGCUCCAGCUUGCUGGGGUACACGAGUGGCGAACGGGUGAGUAACACGUGGGUGACCUGCCCAGCACUUCGGGAUAAGCCUGGGAAACUGGGUCUAAUACCGGAUAGGACCGCACCGUGAGGGUGUGGUGGAAAGUUUUUUCGGUGUGGGAUGGGCCCGCGGCCUAUCAGCUUGUUGGUGGGGUAAUGGCCUACCAAGGCGGCGACGGGUAGCCGGCCUGAGAGGGUGGACGGCCACAUUGGGACUGAGACACGGCCCAGACUCCUACGGGAGGCAGCAGUGGGGAAUAUUGCACAAUGGGCGGAAGCCUGAUGCAGCGACGCCGCGUGGGGGAUGACGGCCUUCGGGUUGUAAACUCCUUUCACCAUCGACGAAGGGUUUCUGACGGUAGAUGGAGAAGAAGCACCGGCUAACUACGUGCCAGCAGCCGCGGUAAUACGUAGGGUGCGAGCGUUGUCCGGAAUUACUGGGCGUAAAGAGCUCGUAGGUGGUUUGUCGCGUCGUCUGUGAAAUUCCGGGGCUUAACUCCGGGCGUGCAGGCGAUACGGGCAUAACUUGAGUACUGUAGGGGAGACUGGAAUUCCUGGUGUAGCGGUGAAAUGCGCAGAUAUCAGGAGGAACACCGGUGGCGAAGGCGGGUCUCUGGGCAGUAACUGACGCUGAGGAGCGAAAGCAUGGGGAGCGAACAGGAUUAGAUACCCUGGUAGUCCAUGCCGUAAACGGUGGGCGCUAGGUGUGGGUUUCCUUCCACGGGAUCCGUGCCGUAGCUAACGCAUUAAGCGCCCCGCCUGGGGAGUACGGCCGCAAGGCUAAAACUCAAAGGAAUUGACGGGGGCCCGCACAAGCGGCGGAGCAUGUGGAUUAAUUCGAUGCAACGCGAAGAACCUUACCUGGGCUUGACAUAUACAGGAUCGCGCCAGAGAUGGUGUUUCCCUUGUGGCUUGUAUACAGGUGGUGCAUGGUUGUCGUCAGCUCGUGUCGUGAGAUGUUGGGUUAAGUCCCGCAACGAGCGCAACCCUUGUCUUAUGUUGCCAGCACGUUGUGGUGGGGACUCGUAAGAAACUGCCGGGGUUAACUCGGAGGAAGGUGGGGAUGACGUCAAAUCAUCAUGCCCCUUAUGUCCAGGGCUUCACACAUGCUACAAUGGUCGGUACAGUGGGUUGCCAGUCCGUGAGGGCGAGCUAAUCCCGCAAAGCCGGUCUCAGUUCGGAUCGGGGUCUGCAACUCGACCCCGUGAAGUCGGAGUCGCUAGUAAUCGCAGAUCAGCAACGCUGCGGUGAAUACGUUCCCGGGCCU
RNAcentral lists this ribosomal RNA (1341 nucleotides) under uncultured bacterium. RNAcentral's name for it is "partial 16S ribosomal RNA". It matches the Rfam family "Bacterial small subunit ribosomal RNA", at positions 28 to 1381 of the family's 1533-position model. The record is from RNAcentral.